CCGGCACGGGUGAGUAACACGUAUCCAACCUGCCGUCUACUCUUGGCCAGCCUUCUGAAAGGAAGAUUAAUCCAGGAUGGCAUCAUGAGUUCACAUGUCCGCAUGAUUAAAGGUAUUUUCCGGUAGACGAUGGGGAUGCGUUCCAUUAGAUAGUAGGCGGGGUAACGGCCCACCUAGUCAACGAUGGAUAGGGGUUCUGAGAGGAAGGUCCCCCACAUUGGAACUGAGACACGGUCCA
This 238-nucleotide ribosomal RNA is filed under the name uncultured bacterium. RNAcentral's name for it is "partial 16S ribosomal RNA". It matches the Rfam family "Bacterial small subunit ribosomal RNA", at positions 100 to 333 of the family's 1533-position model. The record is from RNAcentral.